UAAUACGAAGGUGGCGAGCGUUGUUCGGAUUCACUGGGCAUAAAGGGCGCGUAGGCGGUGCCGCAAGCGGCGUGUGAAAUUCCGGGGCUCAACCCCGGAACGGCGCGCUGGACUGCGGUGCUCGAGUGCGGGAGGGGGGUGCGGAACUCUAGGUGGAGCGGUGAAAUGCGUAGAUAUCUAGAGGAACACCGGUGGCGAAAGCGACACCCUGGCCCGCAACUGACGCUGAGGCGCGAAAGCGUGGGUAGCAAACAGGAUUAGAUACCCUGGUAGUCCACGCCGUAAACGAUGAGCACUAGGUAGCCGUCGGAUCCGACCGGGGGCUGCUGAAGGUAAUCCAUUAAGUGCUCCGCCUGGGGAGUAUGGUCGCAAGGCUG
This 377-nucleotide ribosomal RNA is filed under the name uncultured bacterium. RNAcentral describes it as "bacterial SSU rRNA". It matches the Rfam family "Bacterial small subunit ribosomal RNA", at positions 521 to 896 of the family's 1533-position model. The record is from RNAcentral.